RNAcentral lists this ribosomal RNA (509 nucleotides) under uncultured bacterium. RNAcentral describes it as "partial 16S ribosomal RNA". It matches the Rfam family "Bacterial small subunit ribosomal RNA", at positions 355 to 874 of the family's 1533-position model. The record is from RNAcentral.
UGGGGAAUAUUGCACAAUGGGCGCAAGCCUGAUGCAGCAACGCCGCGUGAGGGACGACGGCCUUCGGGUUGUAAACCUCUUUUAGUAGGGAAGAAGCGAAAGUGACGGUACCUGCAGAAAAAGCACCGGCUAACUACGUGCCAGCAGCCGCGGUAAUACGUAGGGUGCGAGCGUUGUCCGGAAUUAUUGGGCGUAAAGAGCUCGUAGGCGGUCUGUCGCGUCUGCUGUGAAAACCCGAGGCUCAACCUCGGGCCUGCAGUGGGUACGGGCAGACUAGAGUGCGGUAGGGGAGAAUGGAAUUCCUGGUGUAGCGGUGGAAUGCGCAGAUAUCAGGAGGAACACCGAUGGCGAAGGCAGUUCUCUGGGCCGUAACUGACGCUGAGGAGCGAAAGCGUGGGGAGCGAACAGGAUUAGAUACCCUGGUAGUCUACGCCGUAAACGUUGGGCGCUAGAUGUGGGGACCAUUCCACGGUUUCCGUGUCGCAGCUAACGCAUUAAGCGCCCCGCCU